AACAUCAUAUUAAUUUAGUAUU
RNAcentral lists this small nuclear RNA (22 nucleotides) under Arabidopsis thaliana (thale cress). RNAcentral describes it as "snRNA_06321". Lineage: Eukaryota; Viridiplantae; Streptophyta; Magnoliopsida; Brassicales; Brassicaceae. The record is from RNAcentral.